CCUUAAAACAAGAAAAGAGAGCGGCAAAAGGCAAACUUGGAUAGUAAUCUUCUUCUCCUAGUUCAUCUUCAAAAGGCAAUCUGUUUUCUUCCAAUGCAUUUCCUUCAGCUAAAGCACUAAGAUAUUUCCAAGACCUCUGUGCAGGAUUAUAUUCCUGCAAUCUCUUCCAGCCGAGUUGUUCACAAUACUCAUCUGUUCCAUCAUUAUUGGUACUAGAUAGAUAAUAUGUCUGUAAACCACUGAAAUGAUAAACAAACAAUCAAAAUCCGAAAAAUGAUUAGGCAGCUGCAAACAAUGCACCCACUUCACUGCUUAGGUUGCAAAGGAAAUUCAAAUAACACAAACAUACUUUGCAGAUUUCUGUUGUGGGAAGGCAUUGAUUAUAAUUUCAUGAUGCUUAAUACGUUUGCUUCAUAAAAAUUGCACAAGUAAAAACUUAUCGCACCAAUUAUUUUUUUAUUGAUCUUCUGAAAAUGUGGCAGCCGAUGAAGUUCUUAAUACACGUAACUAGACUGAAAAUAAACACCUAGUUGUCAUUUAACCAGUUGUCAGAGAAUUCUUAGCUACCUCAGGCACCAAAGGACUGCAAAUAACAAUUUCAGGCUAAUUGAAGAAUUAAGGGUUGUACUUAUGCUAAACACCAGGUGAAGAAAUACCUUGACAUAUCAAUUCUUUGCCAUCUCCCAAAGUCUAAGCCAGAAAGCACAACAAUGUGUUUCUUUCCGCUAGCAACUGCAAAAUCUGCCAAGUUCUUAGCAAAUUCAAUCAUCAUCCCCUGUAUGAACAAUUUGUUAUCAACCAACAGAUUCCCAAAGGCAAGUGGACAGAAUAAGAAUUUUAUGAUAUAUAAACUCAUGAUGCAACUUCACAUGCAUGCUCACAAGUGUUGUCCAAAGUAGAUGAAAGUCCUGAGACAUGAAAGAUGCAAAUACUCACUCAAACUCUGGUUGGCAUGUUUCCUAUCAAGUUUCAAGACUCUUGUAAGAAUUUGUUAACAGGAAAAUAUAGCCAUUCAUUAUAAUCCUUUCAAUUUGGCAAUUAGGAGCUUCUCUCUUACCAUUCUGGUUAGUUUGCAUAGCCAAAAAAUUAGUCUGCAUUUCCACUUGAGAUGCACUAUUGUAGAGAAUUUCUUGCUUUUGCUGUCACAACUCAUUACUCUCAUACUCUGUAUUUUUCUUCCCCAUCUGAUAGUGCACGUAGUACAUUGAUGAUCUAAGCACAUAAACAUUCUGGUAUUUCACCUUUUCAACAUAAUUUCACAUUAUGCAUGUUAAACCCUCACUAAAGCAACAUACUGCAUGCAAUUCUUAAAAGAUAGUGUGUCAUUUUAGCUACAGACUAUCAACUCCAAGCAUCAGCACACAGUAUGCAAUGGAUGAAGAAAUAUCCUAAUGUUCUAGACUUGAAUUAGGAAUAUCUUCAUUUCAGCACAAAUACAACAUACAAAAUAAUGCCCAAGUUCAUUCCCAAAUUGGCAUACAGAAAUGUUAGCAAAGAAGGCUUCCAAAAUUGAAGUAGUA
This 1520-nucleotide unclassified non-coding RNA is filed under the name Hevea brasiliensis (rubber tree). Lineage: Eukaryota; Viridiplantae; Streptophyta; Magnoliopsida; Malpighiales; Euphorbiaceae. The record is from RNAcentral.